GAGAGUAACUGCUCGUACCUUGACGGUACCUAACCAGAAAGCCACGGCUAACUACCUGCCAGCAGCCGCGGUAAUACGUAGGUGGCAAGCGUUAUCCGGAAUUAUUGGGCGUAAAGCGCGCGCAGGCGGUUUCUUAAGUCUGAUGUGAAAGCCCACCGCUCAACCAUGGAGG
RNAcentral lists this ribosomal RNA (172 nucleotides) under Priestia megaterium. RNAcentral describes it as "Bacillus megaterium partial 16S ribosomal RNA". It matches the Rfam family "Bacterial small subunit ribosomal RNA", at positions 449 to 621 of the family's 1533-position model. Lineage: Bacteria; Bacillati; Bacillota; Bacilli; Caryophanales; Bacillaceae. The record is from RNAcentral.